GACGAACGCUGGCGGCGUGCCUAAUACAUGCAAGUCGAGCGAUGAAGGUUGGUCCUUGUACCUACUGGAUGAGCAGCGGACGGGUGAGUAACGCGUGGGGAAUCUGCCUUUGAGCGGGGGACAACAUUUGGAAACGAAUGCUAAUACCGCAUAAUAACUUUAAACACAAGUUUUAAGUUUGAAAGAUGCAAUUGCAUAACUUAAAGAUGAUCCCGCGUUGUAUUAGCUAGUUGGUCAGGUAAAGGCCCACCAAGGCGAGGAUACAUAGCCGACCUGAGAGGGGGAGCUGGCAAGAUGGGACGUGAGCACGGCCCAAAAUCCUGCGGGAGGGAGCAGGAGGGAAUUUUUGGGGAAGGACGAAAGGCGGAACGAGGAACGGCGCGGGGGGGAAGGAGGGUGUCGGGUCGGAAAAAUCUGGUGGUAGAGAAGAACGUUAGGGAGAGUUAAAAGCGCAUAUAGUGACGGUAACUACCCAGAAAGCGACGGCUAACUACGUG
RNAcentral lists this ribosomal RNA (497 nucleotides) under uncultured bacterium. RNAcentral describes it as "partial 16S ribosomal RNA". It matches the Rfam family "Bacterial small subunit ribosomal RNA", at positions 28 to 507 of the family's 1533-position model. The record is from RNAcentral.